AGCAGCCGCGGUAAUUCCAGCUCCAAUAGCGUAUAUCAAAGUUGUUGCAGUUAAAAAGCUCGUAGUUGAAUUUCGGGGUUAGUAAGUUGGUCAUGCCUCCGGUAUGCACUGGCUUUACUGAUUCCUCCUUCUUGAUGAACUGUAAUGUCAUUAAUUUGGUGUUGCAGGGAAUCAGGACUGUUACUUUGAAAAAUUAGAGUGUUUAAAGCAGGCAUACGCUUGAAUACAUUAGCAUGGAAUAAUGAAAUAGGACGUUUGAUCCUAUUUUGUUGGUUUCUAGGAUUGACGUAAUGAUUAAUAGGGAUAGUUGGGGGUAUUAGUAUUCAAUUGUCAGAGGUGAAAUUCUUGGAUUUAUUGAAGACUAACUACUGCGAAAGCAUUUGCCAAGGAUGUUUUCAUUAAUCAAGAACGAAAGUUAGGGGGAUCGAAGACGAUCAGAUACCGUCGUAGUCUUAAACCAUAAACUAUGCCGACUAGGGAUCGGAUGAUGUUAUUUUUAAUGACUCAUUCGGCG
Molecule: ribosomal RNA, 514 nt
Filed under: uncultured Glomus
Lineage: Eukaryota; Fungi; Glomeromycota; Glomeromycetes; Glomerales; Glomeraceae
Description: SSU rRNA
Rfam family: Eukaryotic small subunit ribosomal RNA
Source: RNAcentral